UGGGGAAUCUUGCACAAUGGACGAAAGUCUGAUGCAGCGAUUCCGCGUGGAGGAUGACGCAUCAUGGUGUGUAAACUCCUUUUCUGGUGGAAGACGAAUGACGGUACACCAGGAAUAAGAGACGGCUAACUACGUGCCAGCAGCCGCGGUAAUACGUAGGUCUCAAGCGUUAUCCGGAUUUACUGGGCGUAAAGUGUCCGUAGACUGAUAUAUAAGUCCGUUUUCAAAUACUCUGACUCAAUCAGAGAAAGGGGAUGGAUACUGUACAUCUAGAAGUUAUUAGGGGUUAGUGGAAUUUCCGGUGGAGCGGUGAAAUGCGUUGAUAUCGGAAAGAACGCCGAAAGCGAAAGCAGCUAACUAUAAUAAACUUGACGUUGAGGGACGACAGUGUGGGGAGCAAACAGG
RNAcentral lists this ribosomal RNA (405 nucleotides) under uncultured bacterium. Its description in RNAcentral is "bacterial SSU rRNA". It matches the Rfam family "Bacterial small subunit ribosomal RNA", at positions 355 to 776 of the family's 1533-position model. The record is from RNAcentral.